This 1379-nucleotide long non-coding RNA is filed under the name Homo sapiens (human). Its description in RNAcentral is "non-protein coding lnc-LRRC37A3-5:11". Lineage: Eukaryota; Metazoa; Chordata; Mammalia; Primates; Hominidae. The record is from RNAcentral.
ACUGGUUAUAGUGCUAUACAGGAAACCUGGCAGCGCCGGAGCCGCGCGGUCGAGGAGGGAGCGCGGGACGCCGAGCCCACGCGCGCCUGCCGGGACAAGUGGAGACGAGGCCGGCGAGCGGACGCCCCGAGGUGCCCGGGCAGGCAGUGGGCCGCCGAGCGGGAGUUGAGGUGGGAGGUGGGGUGGGGGUGGGGAAAGGGGCAGGGUUGGGGAGGGAAGGGUGCGGCAGGUGGCGGGUCCGCACCCGGGAGCUCCGCGCGCCUGCUCCCCUUGUCUCCGUGCUGGGGCGGGAGCUGCUCGGGCCGCAUCCCACGGGGAGGAGAAGGUUGGCGAAGGAGCUGUGGCCGGGUCCCCUUCUUAUCCAGCCCGAGACACUGCGCUCCGCUCCGAUUCCGCGAAACCUCUCCGGCACCACCUCGGAAGCCCCGCCCAGGGCGAUGGUCCGGGCCUAACCUGCCGGCCCCGCCCACCCGGCCCUUGGGCUCCCUGAGGCCCGCCCAGCAGACGUGAGUGCGCUGCGGGGUCCGGGGGGAAGGGGCGCCGGGGCAGUGUCCACCUUGGGGUUUGUUGGCUCUGGGCAGCUCGAUGACCCCGCCUCCGGGGCCCAGUGUGCUUAGUGACUCAAGUGUAUACCCUUUCCUAGUCGAGGAACGCUUGACAAAGUGGCGAAGGAGCCCUACGGGAGUCCCGGAUUGGACCCUGCUCCUUCGGUCCCUCAGCCUCGGCAAGCCGCGGUCUCCUGGCCCUUGGCCUGGGUCACCUUAGGAGGCAGGAGGAGAUGUGGUCAGUGUGGGAGCUUGGAGGGGCCAUGCACUUCCGGAGAAGACCACCGACUCAUGGCUUUGGUGGAGGGGCGCCGGCAGAUUUAGCUCCUGGAGGGAGGCGUCCAGGCGGGACAGGGCCCGGGGAGCGGCAGGAAAUGGGCUGCUCUUCCCACUUGACUGACGGGAAAACUAAGGCACGGUCAACUAUCAAGCAAGCGUGGUGUCGACCUUAGAGCAGGACUGAAGCGAGGCUGAAAUCUUAGAAUCAACCCCACGGAAUGAAGAGGUUGUCCUAAUUCCAGCACUGAGUGAAAAUGCCGCGGCCGCAAUGGCGGCGGAUGUGGAGGGGGACGUGUACGUACUGGUGGAGCACCCCUUCGAGUACACCGGCAAGGACGGGCGCCGCGUGGCCAUCCCGCCCAAUGAGCGCUACCGGCCGCUGCGGCGCAGCACAGAGCACUGAGCAUUGGUGGCACGUGCGGCGCAAGCCCGGCGGCCGCCCCUUCUACCUGCCCGCGCAGUACGUGCGCGAGCUGCCUGCGCUGGGCAACCCUGCCGCUGACGCGCCGCCAGGUCCCCCCAUCGGGACCCGCAGCCCCUGAGCCGCUCGCCUAC